This 549-nucleotide ribosomal RNA is filed under the name fungal endophyte. RNAcentral's name for it is "eukaryotic LSU rRNA". The stretch from base 173 to 326 matches the Rfam family "5.8S ribosomal RNA". Lineage: Eukaryota; Fungi. The record is from RNAcentral.
CUGAGUUUACGCUCUAUAACCCUUUGUGAACAUACCUAUAACUGUUGCUUCGGCGGGUAGGGUCUCCGUGACCCUCCCGGCCUCCCGCCCCCGGGCGGGUCGGCGCCCGCCGGAGGGUAACCAAACUCUGAUUUAACGACGUUUCUUCUGAGUGGUACAAGCAAAUAAUCAAAACUUUUAACAACGGAUCUCUUGGUUCUGGCAUCGAUGAAGAACGCAGCGAAAUGCGAUAAGUAAUGUGAAUUGCAGAAUUCAGUGAAUCAUCGAAUCUUUGAACGCACAUUGCGCCCGCCAGCAUUCUGGCGGGCAUGCCUGUUCGAGCGUCAUUUCAACCCUCAAGCUCUGCUUGGUGUUGGGGCCCUACAGCUGAUGUAGGCCCUCAAAGGUAGUGGCGGACCCUCCCGGAGCCUCCUUUGCGUAGUAACUUUACGUCUCGCACUGGGAUCCGGAGGGACUCUUGCCGUAAAACCCCCAACUUUCCAAAGGUUGACCUCGGAUCAGGUAGGAAUACCCGCUGAACUUAAGCAUAUCAAUAAGCGGAGGAGGUCA